This 1197-nucleotide ribosomal RNA is filed under the name Triticum aestivum (bread wheat). Its description in RNAcentral is "partial small subunit ribosomal RNA". Lineage: Eukaryota; Viridiplantae; Streptophyta; Magnoliopsida; Poales; Poaceae. The record is from RNAcentral.
AUGAAGGGAGAGGAGCCCGGCCGGCUGGACAUCCUGCAAGUGACGGCAAGGGAGGAGCGUGUGACGAUGGUGUUCCUGGACUCCCGGUUGCAGACACCACCCUGCAAAGGCAACCGAGGCGACAACCUGUUGCUUUGUCACGAGUUCAAAUCACCAGACGAGCCAAUAUUUUUGCCUCCCCCGGACUGCACUGGGCCAUCCUUUGUUGGGCUGCAGAAACAACGACGCAGCAAUUUGACUAUUCUUUGUCUUUUACGAUGCGGGUCCGCGGUGAGAGGUAACGCUGGCUGGCGCCUCACCACUGGCUAUUGUUUGACGGCGGCAAGGAGAAGGGCGCCAAGGGUGUGCUGCUCUGUGCACGGCCGUCAAAAUUUUUCUGUGGCUUUCUCCAUUAGCAUGUUUCUCCUCAACGACCAUAUCAAUCUGGCUGGUGUUUGCACAUGUUUUGGUAGAUUUGAUUUAUCGGUAGCUAGGGCAGUGGUGAUGCCGCAGGUUGACCAAUUGUGUGCUAGAAGGAGAGCUGCAGUGGACAAGGAGGGGGGAGCAAGGACUAACUUUCGUGUUCCUGAUGGUCUGGAUGUUGGUUUUAUUCAGCAGUCACAGGGCUGCCUGCAUUAUGCUGGUUUUGACACAGAUGACAAUGAUGAUGAUGUUGUUCAACUGCUAGUUUAUGUUCUUCAAGACUAUGACAGCAAAGAGUGGAUACUGAAGCAUAGCGUCGAAACUUCACAUGUGUUUGGAGGGCGACACGUAGACGACUUUGGUAAGGACUUUGAUUGGAUUGCAAUUCAUCCAGAAUGUGAUGUUUUAUUCAUGCUAUGGGGCAGCGAGCAUGGUCUUGAAUUCGGUCCUCCUUUCACUGAUGUACUUCCCAUGUUAGUAUUGCCUAUAAUGGUGCACAUACACUCUACUCCAAGGCGACUAAUUGCGUUAAUAAGAGAGGUAAUUCAACUUACUGCUGAGGCAUUUGCCUACUGGGAUGAUGUUCAAAUCUGUUGGGAAAUUCAUGCUGGGAAGGUCACUGAAACUAAUUUCUUUAGCUGGUCAACCUUUGGAAGGCUAGUACUUCGAGCAGGGCUGGAAUAUGGCAGGAGCCAAUGGCAGCUUGCCAAACUGCUAAAUAAUUUUUCCCAGGCCCUGGCGUUCCUUGCACACUGUAUUCAGCAAGAUUUUAAGAUUGCUAGCCUAUCAAUAUAA